GACGAACGCUGGCGGCGUGCUUAACACAUGCAAGUCGAACGGAAAGGCCCUGCUUUUGUGGGGUGCUCGAGUGGCGAACGGGUGAGUAACACGUGAGUAACCUGCCCUUGACUUUGGGAUAACUUCAGGAAACUGGGGCUAAUACCGGAUAGGAGCUCCUGCUGCAUGGUGGGGGUUGGAAAGUUUCGGCGGUUGGGGAUGGACUCGCGGCUUAUCAGCUUGUUGGUGGGGUAGUGGCUUACCAAGGCUUUGACGGGUAGCCGGCCUGAGAGGGUGACCGGCCACAUUGGGACUGAGAUACGGCCCAGACUCCUACUGGAGGCAGCAGUGGGGAAUAUUGCACAAUGGGCGGAAGCCUGAUGCAGCAACGCCGCGUGCGGGAUGACGGCCUUCGGGUUGUAAACCGCUUUCGCCUGUGACGAAGCGUGAGUGACGGUAAUGUGUAAAGAAGCACCGGCUAACUACGUG
Molecule: ribosomal RNA, 468 nt
Filed under: uncultured bacterium
Lineage: Bacteria
Description: partial 16S ribosomal RNA
Rfam family: Bacterial small subunit ribosomal RNA
Source: RNAcentral